This 37-nucleotide non-coding RNA is filed under the name Amaranthus hybridus (smooth pigweed). The record is from RNAcentral. RNAcentral also lists the same sequence under 60 other names. Lineage: Eukaryota; Viridiplantae; Streptophyta; Magnoliopsida; Caryophyllales; Amaranthaceae.
CGACCCCAGGUCAGGCGGGACUACCCGCUGAGUUUAA